UACUAAAAAGCUUAUACAGCAAUGGGCUUUUAACCCACAGAGGAUAUAUAUUAUCUUUAGUAC
This 63-nucleotide transfer RNA is filed under the name Trypanobia cryptica. RNAcentral describes it as "tRNA-Lys". Lineage: Eukaryota; Metazoa; Annelida; Polychaeta; Phyllodocida; Syllidae. The record is from RNAcentral.